This 397-nucleotide long non-coding RNA is filed under the name Homo sapiens (human). RNAcentral describes it as "non-protein coding lnc-CHORDC1-2:1". The record is from RNAcentral. Lineage: Eukaryota; Metazoa; Chordata; Mammalia; Primates; Hominidae.
AAAUGGACUUAGAAUUCCCACAAGCCUUCCAGAAAGAACUCACCUGCCUCAUCUGCCUGAAUUACCUCAUAGACCCCAUCACUAUAGGCUGCUGGCACAGUUUCUGUAGGCCCUGCCUCUGCCUUUGCUGGGAAGAAGCCCACACUCCUGCCCUGCAUGCAGGGAACCGUCACAGCAGGAAGAUUUCAAAACCGAUAUUCUUCUGAAGAAUCUAGUGUCCAUUGUGAGAAAAGCCAGUCUCUGGCAAUUCCUGAGCUCUAAUGAACAAAUGUGCGGGAUCCACAGGGAGACAAAGAUGUUCUGUGAUGUGGGCAAGAGCCUGCUCUGUUUUCUGUGUUCUAUCUCGCAGGAACACUGGGGCACAGAAACACUGGCCCACUGAAGGGGAAGCAAAGGA